UAAAAAUUUGUUGCGUGCACUCGUAAGGAUGGUCGCAUGAUGGGUAACAAGUAUUAACUCUUAAUUUACUUCAAUUCAUUUUAAAUAGAGUGAGUAAAAAUGUGUACAUAAAAAAAAAAAAUCAUAAAUACGAAAUAAAUUUAAUGAUUUAACUCCUCUCCACCUACUCGCUAUGAUGUAUAUAAUUAAUCAUUUUUAAUUUUAUUU
RNAcentral lists this long non-coding RNA (207 nucleotides) under Carica papaya (papaya). RNAcentral's name for it is "long non-coding RNA (CPAP_LNC011677)". Lineage: Eukaryota; Viridiplantae; Streptophyta; Magnoliopsida; Brassicales; Caricaceae. The record is from RNAcentral.